Molecule: long non-coding RNA, 1102 nt
Filed under: Sorghum bicolor (sorghum)
Lineage: Eukaryota; Viridiplantae; Streptophyta; Magnoliopsida; Poales; Poaceae
Description: long non-coding RNA (SBIC_LNC018589)
Source: RNAcentral
GUUCGGCCGACUCCAAGCAUCAAAACCAAAACCGAAGGCACGAGGAGCUAGAGGAGCUUGCAGCGCACUCACCCACGGCCUUAUUUCGGCCGGAGAGAUCCCGGAGUAGUGUGGCCGCGUGGGAAGAUAGGGAGAGAGUCGGCGAGAUCCAAAACCGGGUGGGGAAGACCGCUAGGGCUUGGUUUUUUUGCGGCUCGGGUGGAAAACGAGGCGCGGGGCAUCACUAGGAGCUUUAUAAGGCUCGGUUUGAUCUCGACAUGCCAAAUCCCGGGAGAAUCGGGAUUUUGGUUGGCGCCGGAGUCCGACUCGGCUCCGUCUCGUGAAGAAGGAAGGAGGAGAGCUGACGUGUGGGGCCGGUGUGGCAGUGACUGAGAGGGGCGGAGGAGGGGGAAGCGUGCGCGCAGGGAGCUGGGCCGGUUGGGCCGCGCGCUAGGGGAAGGGGAAAACUGCUGGGCCUCGGCUUUUGGCCCAGGCCGAGGUGAGGGAAGUGUAUUUCUCUUUUUUUUUUUAUUAUUAUUAUUUUCCAAAGCCUUUUCCAAAUAGAGUUUUGAAAGCAAUACAAUUAAAAUAAAACCAGAUCAAACAGUACAAAAAUAACUAUGCUUCAGCAUGAAUGCAAAAUCAUGUUUCUGAACUUAUGAUGAGUUUUAAUUUUCACAAAAUUAUUUGUUUGCUAGAUUCAAAUGCCCACAAAAAUACUUAUUUAAUUUGAAUUAAAUCCUAUAAAUUGAAAAUCAGUAUUUCGGGUGUUACAAACUCUACCCCCCUUAAAAGAAUCUCGUCCUCGAGAUUGAGCAGAACUUACUCAAACAAAUAUGAAAACGAUUUUCUCAGAUCAUCCUCUCUUUCCCAAGUUGCCUCUGCUUCCGAAUACCGAUUCCACUGCACUUUGCACAUUCUAAUAACCCGACUUCUGGUGACUCUCUCAGCUAGUUUCCAAUAUUCUGACCGGAUACUCUUCAUAAGUGAGAUCACCUUUAACAGAAAGUUCUUCCAAUGGUAGUUGCUCCUCAGGUACACGCAAACACUUCUUAAGUUGUGACACAUGGAACACAUCGUGCACACCAGACAAACUUUCAGGCAAUUCUAACCGAUACGCUAC